GGGGUGGCUUUGGUUAUCUAGUGUUGAAUGUUGUUCUGUUCCGUUCGGUUGUUUGACUAUUUGUUUAGGAUCCUGCAGAACUAGGUUCGAAUUGCGGUCGCACCAAGCUUAAGAUCUUUGUACGAGUAGAUAUCUCUUUUUAUUGGUUUGUGUGAGUGGAGGAAAGGUUCUCAGAGUUUAUUAUUAGUAUUAUUAUUAUUUUGACUAAUAAAGAAACGGUUGUUGUUGUUGUUGUUGUUGUUGUUGUUGUUAUCGUCGUCAGCGUUACUUUUGCUUGGUUUUUCUGAUUGCAGCUGUUUAUGUUGUUGUUGUUGAGGCUAUUCUUGUUAUUGUUGUUGUUGUUGUUGUUGUUGUUGUUGUUGUCAUCUGUUGUGGGAUGCGACUCUGAAAUACGAAGUGUCCUAAGAGCCGAGAGGACGGACAGUCAGCCGCCGCUUCUGGCGUAGCUACUUCUUCUUCUUCUCUGUCUCUAUCUCUAUCUCUUUCUUCUUCUUCGUCGUCCUCCGCCGCUUGCCUCUGUUGUAAACAGCUGCACUUCCUGUUUGCUCUGGAAAUUGCUCUGUCUUGCGAGAUCUUCCACUGCAGGUGAGUCGCCCUCACAUCCUCCAUAAAUGUGGUGAGAAAGGAACGAGUGAUGCUUACAAGCAGGGGAUAAAAGUUAACUGAUAGACAGUAGGUGAGAGAGAGAGAGAGCGUAAGACGAAGUGUGAGGAGGAGGGGGGGGGAGGGAAGGAGGGGUUGCGAGAUAUACGGGAGGAAGAGGAGGAUGUGAAGGGGAGGAAUAUGUAGAAAAAAUAAAAGGAGGGGGAAUUUGUGGGUGUGAGAGUAAAAUCUGUAUUGAGUGAUAGAUGAGUUUUGUGUGUAUGUAUGUAUGUAUGUGUGUAUGUAUGUAUGUGUGUAUGUAUGUAUGUGUGUAUGUUUCGGGAGUUGUGUAUGUAUGUAUGUAUGAAUGUAUGUAUGUAUGUAUGUUUCGGCAGUUGUGUAUGUAUGUAUGUAUGAAUGUAUGUAUGUAUGUAUGUAUGUAUGUAUGUAUGUAUGUAUGUAUGUAUGUAUGUAUGUAUGUAUGAAUGUAUGUAUGUAGUUGUGUAUGUAUGUAUGUAUGAAUGUAUGUAUGUAUGUGUGUAUGUAUGUAUGUAUGUGUGUAUGUAUGUAUGUUUCGGGAGUUGUGUAUGUAUGUAUGAAUGUAUGUAUGUAUGUAUGUAUGUAUGUAUGUAUGUAUGUAUGUGUGUAUGAAUGUAUGUAUGUCUGUAUGUAUGUAUGUAUGUAUGUACGUGUGUUUGUAUGUAUAUAUGUAUGUAUGUAUGUGUGUCUGUAUGUAUGUUUCGGGAGUUGUGUAUGUAUGUAUGUAUGUAUGUAUGUAUGUAUGUAUGUAUGUAUGUAUGUAUGUAUGUACUACGUAUGUAUGUAUGUUUGUAUGUAUAUAUGUACUACGUAUGUAUGUAUGUACGUAUAUAUGUGUGUGUUUAUGUGUGUCGAUAUAAAAAUGUUUAGAGUGAAAAAAAGAAGAGGGAGAGAAACGAAAAAAAAAUGUAGGUGUGUUCAAAAAAUGGCGGGUAAAAAGUACAAAAAAAUUAUCAACAACUGAAGAAGAAAUCAAGGUGGGGAGUAGGAAGAGUAGAAUCUAAAAUGAAACCGAAAGUAGGGUGGGGAAGAAAGCUAGGAGUGGGAGUACGUACGGUUGGAAUUUCAGAAGAGAGGCAGAAUGAGGAGGAAUGGAAGCUCCACCAUAUGUGAAUGGAAGCAGCAGCAAGCAGGAAUUAGUUUAUGGUCUUCGAAAGAAUUCUGAGGAAGACGAUGGCGACGCUGGGUUCACGGUUUCUUAC
RNAcentral lists this long non-coding RNA (1823 nucleotides) under Octopus vulgaris (common octopus). Lineage: Eukaryota; Metazoa; Mollusca; Cephalopoda; Octopoda; Octopodidae. The record is from RNAcentral.